RNAcentral lists this long non-coding RNA (1554 nucleotides) under Marmota monax (woodchuck). Lineage: Eukaryota; Metazoa; Chordata; Mammalia; Rodentia; Sciuridae. The record is from RNAcentral.
AGCUUGCUCUAGGGUCUGUGUAUGGCUGCUGCUGGGUGAGCACCUCACAGGGCUGGGAGGGACAGCUGGGCCCUCAGCCCCACGCCCUCCGUCCGCCAAUCCCUGACCCCAAUAGAGGAAGAACUCCUCAGUAACAGCCUUCACAGCAGAGGACAUGUCACCACACACAGCACCUGCCGCCAAAUAGCCACAGAGACGGGUGUGACCAGGUUUUGAGGACUGGCACCCAUGCACAGGCUGCCUAUGCCAUGGAAAGCCGCCAGCCGGUGCUGGACAUCAGUGGCCUGCGGUGGACUUAAUUCUCGGCCAAAGAAGGGAGCAGGGGCUCCUCUUGCCUAGACUUGCACUGAACUCAGCCAGGAAACAGCACCAGCAAGAGAAGUCCAAUCUGUGGCCGGGGGGAAGCAGAAAGGCAGACCUACGCGCCUGACACCGGGCAGGUGCCUGAGCCCCUCAGCCAGACCUCGCCUGCGCUCACCCCUCAGUGGGGACGCAGCAUCUGGACUAUCUGCCAGUCGUGCUGUGAACUAAAUGAGACUGAAGAGACUAAAGGACACUGUCAUGGGGACGUGGGCUGCAAGUGACCAGCUCAGAGCAUUAGGAAACGUCAGGUCCCCGCUGAGGUCCAGUGGAGUGCGGGACCCGCCAUCAGGACCCUUGUCCUGUGAGUGGGCCACAGGGGCGCUUCCCAGCCAUCUUUCAGGGGGUGCUGUGGGUUUCCUUCAGGUCAUCGCUCGAGGAUCUUCACCUAGCGAACAGCCCAGGUGGAGAGCGACCCUCCCGUGCAGAGGGCAAAGCUGCUGUUUGCUACUGUGAGGAGGACGCUCCUUCCUCUGGGGUGGACAGGCCAGUCUGCUUGCAGCCCUUUGGAAGUUCUGAGGUCCCUAAACUCAGUAUUGCUCACUGUGAUGAGGACCACCUGUGUGCCUGCUGUCCUCGGGCCCUGCCCAUAGGACUUGAGGGAGGGAAAUCAAAGCAGCCGUAAAUUCAAGUUUCUGGCUGUGCCCUGUGUAAUAGACCUAGGUCUGUCUGCUCCAGGCAUCUCGUGUCUUCUGCUAGUGUCUUUGAAAGCAUGGCAGGCCAACUUGCUAGCCUCAGACCCUCCACAGUUCUUGACACAGGCUGAUAAGACCGGAGCAUCACCCGGAGACACAAGCGGUGCUUUCCUGUCAACCUCCCCGAUGAGCCAGAGAAAGGUUUCCUGCAAGUCUUCCCCUGGGUCUUCAGAGACCAGGCCUGGGGGCCUCCGGGCGCGAAGCCCCUCACCUACCUCGCCCGCGGGCCGCAGCAGGCUCUCCUCCCCACGUGGGGUUGCCAAGCCACACCCUGCUGCUCCCCCUCCCGGACGCUCCAGGGGCUUCCUCACUGUCUGGAAAGAAAAUCCAGUCCCCACAGCAUGUGCACAGUGAGCCUGCUCAUGCUGGACAGGUGGGCAGCCUGCUGGCCAGCAGCUGAGGACUGUUCUGCAGGUGGGCACACCCAUACCCAUGCACACUCUGUGUCACACUCAUGUGCACGCAGCCGCACACGUGCGUAAACACAAGACACUUCCUG